UGGGACCUGCCAAAACCCACCUAUUUUUUGGAUGACCUCGGAUCAGGUAGGGAUACCCGC
Molecule: ribosomal RNA, 60 nt
Filed under: Erysiphe sp. Kur
Lineage: Eukaryota; Fungi; Ascomycota; Leotiomycetes; Helotiales; Erysiphaceae
Description: partial 28S ribosomal RNA
Source: RNAcentral